GACGAACGCUGGCGGCGUGCUUAACACAUGCAAGUCGAACGGAAAGGCCCUGCUUUUGUGGGGUGCUCGAGUGGCGAACGGGUGAGUAACACGUGAGUAACCUGCCCUUUACUUUGGGAUAACUUCAGGAAACUGGGUCUAAUACCGGAUAGUAGCUCCUGCUGCAUGGUGGGGGUUGGAAAGUUUCGGCGGUUGGGGAUGGACUCGCGGCUUAUCAGCUUGUUGGUGGGGUAGUGGCUUACCAAGGCUUUGACGGGUAGCCGGCCUGAGAGGGUGACCGGCCACAUUGGGAAUGAGAUACGGCCCAGACUCCUACGGGAGGCAGCAGUGUAGAAUAUGGCACAAUGGGAGGAAGCCUGAUGCAGAAACGCCGCGUGCGGGAUGACGGACUUCAGGUUGUAAACCGCUUUCGCCUGUGACGAAGCGAGAGUGACGGUAAUGGGUAAAGAAGAACCGGAUAACUACAUG
RNAcentral lists this ribosomal RNA (468 nucleotides) under uncultured bacterium. RNAcentral describes it as "partial 16S ribosomal RNA". It matches the Rfam family "Bacterial small subunit ribosomal RNA", at positions 28 to 507 of the family's 1533-position model. The record is from RNAcentral.